UACGGAAGGCAGCAAUGGGGAAUAUUGCACAAUGGGCGCAAGCCUGAUGCAGCCAUGCCGCGUGUAUGAAGAAGGCCUUCGGGUUGUAAAGUACUUUCAGUCGUGAGGAAGGUGUUAAGGUUAAUAACCUUAGCAAUUGACGUUAGCGACAGAAGAAGCACCGGCUAACUCCGUGCCAGCAGCCGCGGUAAUACGGAGGGUGCGAGCGUUAAUCGGAAUUACUGGGCGUAAAGGGCACGCAGGCGGUUAAUUAAGUUGGAUGUGAAUCCCCGGGCUUAACCUGGGAAUGGCAUUCAAGACUGGUUAGCUAGAGUCUUGUAGAGGGGGUAGAAUUCCAUGUGUAGCGGUGAAAUGCGUAGAGAUGUGGAGGAAUACCGGUGGCGAAGGCGGCCCCUGGGACAAAGACUGACGCUCAUGUGCGAAAGCGUGGGGAGCAAACAGGGAUUUAGAUACC
Molecule: ribosomal RNA, 454 nt
Filed under: uncultured bacterium
Lineage: Bacteria
Description: bacterial SSU rRNA
Rfam family: Bacterial small subunit ribosomal RNA
Source: RNAcentral